CCGCCCAUAGCUCAACGGCAGAGCUCUCCCCCGAUAAGGGAGCGAUGCAGGUUCAAUUCCUGAGGGGCGGA
Molecule: transfer RNA, 71 nt
Filed under: Candidatus Brocadiia bacterium
Lineage: Bacteria; Pseudomonadati; Planctomycetota; Candidatus Brocadiia
Description: tRNA-Ile
Rfam family: tRNA
About the family: Transfer RNA (tRNA) molecules are approximately 80 nucleotides in length.
Source: RNAcentral